AAAAUUUUUCAAAAGAAAAAAAAAUCUGUUCUUAUCAGUUUAAUAUCUGAUACGUCCCCCAUCCGGGGACUACAUAUUAAAUGGAUUUUUAGAUCACGGAGCUGGAGCCGGGGCUUGCUCCGUCCACUCCAUGCAUCGGCCUGGUAUUGCAGUGUCUCCAGGAACGGUGUGCUUUCC
This 177-nucleotide small nuclear RNA is filed under the name Carassius auratus (goldfish). RNAcentral's name for it is "U2 spliceosomal RNA (ENSCARG00000032013.1)". It matches the Rfam family "U2 spliceosomal RNA". Rfam says of the family: U2 is a small nuclear RNA (snRNA) component of the spliceosome (involved in pre-mRNA splicing). Complementary binding between U2 snRNA (in an area lying towards the 5' end but 3' to hairpin I) and the branchpoint sequence (BPS) of the intron results the bulging out of an unpaired adenosine, on the BPS, which initiates a nucleophilic attack at the intronic 5' splice site, thus starting the first of two transesterification reactions that mediate splicing. Lineage: Eukaryota; Metazoa; Chordata; Actinopteri; Cypriniformes; Cyprinidae. The record is from Rfam by way of RNAcentral.